Long non-coding RNA from Homo sapiens (human), 421 nucleotides. RefSeq lists it as uncharacterized. NCBI's taxonomy places the organism in Eukaryota, Metazoa, Chordata, Mammalia, Primates, Hominidae. The record is from RefSeq and is a predicted model, not a curated record. The transcript is spliced from 3 exons.
AUAUAUAUAUAUGCAUGCCCUGGACCAUGUACAGUUGAAAAACAUGGGUUUGAACUCCACAGGUCCACUUACAAGCAGAUUUUCUUCCAUCUCUGCCACUCCUGAGAUAGCAAGACCAACCCCUCCUCUUCCUCCUCAACCUACUCAAUGUGAAGAUGAUGAGGAUGAAGGCCUUUAUGAUGAUCCACUUCCACUUAAUGAAUAUGAAAAUCAAGAGGCUGGGCCUUGAAGCAUCUCAGCAAGCAUGACGUCCUCUACACCAUACCCUCUGGCCUGGGGUUCAGCAGUCUUCACCAUUCCCAUUCCCUGAACCCCUCAAAAUCAGGAAUACAGGUUACAGUGAAGACGGCUGUCUGUGAACCAGGGAGUGCACCCUCAGCAGACACCCAAUCUGCUGGCACCAUGCUCUUGGACUCCCCAG